UACCAGCACCCCGAGUGGUCGGGACGUUUAUUGGGCCUAAAGCAUCCGUAGCCGGUUCUGCAAGUCCUCCGUUAAAUCCAACUGCUUAACAGAUGGGCCGCGGAGGAUACUACAGAGCUAGGAGGCAGGAGAGGCAAGCGGUACUCAGUGGGUAGGGGUAAAAUCCGUUGAUCCAUUGAAGACCACCAGUGGCGAAGGCGGCUUGCCAGAAUGCGCUCGACGGUGAGGGAUGAAAGCUGGGGGAGCAAACCGG
Molecule: ribosomal RNA, 253 nt
Filed under: uncultured bacterium
Lineage: Bacteria
Description: partial 16S ribosomal RNA
Rfam family: Archaeal small subunit ribosomal RNA
Source: RNAcentral